Malus domestica (apple) is the source of this 1484-nucleotide non-coding RNA. NCBI's taxonomy places the organism in Eukaryota, Viridiplantae, Streptophyta, Magnoliopsida, Rosales, Rosaceae. The record is from RefSeq and is a predicted model, not a curated record.
UUCUUUAUUAAGUAUUUUAUGAAAACCCUCCGUAUCCCUCUUCUAUUUUCGUGGAAAUUCCCGCAAAUUUCUUUUAUUUAUUUUUAUGAAAACCCUCUUCGUCUUCCUCCUCCUCUUUUUCUGCUUCUUCAUGCAAGUAUAUUUCCAGGUUCAUGUCGUAUAAAAACUGUAAAUUAUUAUAUAGGUAUAAAUUGAGCUCUUCUUCCCAAAUCGGCUGAUAAAAGGAAAUCUAAACCAUCUGGACAUAUUUUACUCUUUUCCAAUCUGGCCAGAUCUCAGCUUUUUGUGUCAUAAGAAGUACAAGUGAAGUACUUGUUGAUGUUUUGGCGUCAGUGAGUGGCAGCAGAUUCUGCUUCCAUUAUAUUGCCGCAGGUUUAAUCAUCAAGAAACGGUCAUUUUGGUAGCCGUGGUGAUGAAUUUGAAAUAAGUACCACAUCAGUGUUAGAGUCGUCAUCUCGUUGUCCUUUUUGUGACCUUCUGAACUCAACAUUCAGAAACGGUCAUUUUGGUAGCCGUGAUGAUGAAUUUGAAAUAAGUACCACAUCAGUGUUAGAGUCGUCAUCUCGCUGUCCUUUUUGUGACCUUCUGAACUCAACAUUCAGAACCUUCAUGAAAGAUGAUGGGUCAGGGAUGGUGUGGAAUGUGGGGUGAAAAAGAUUGCAGAAGCACAAUACCAGGAAUCAAUCUCAACAUUUCAACGUUCAAAGGAAGAUUGGCGGGCGAUGGAAUGGCCUGAUAUAUAAUCCCAGGGACCAAAACUGUUUGGCUUGGCACUAUCAAAUUCCAUGAUCAUGAGAGUUCGAACAGAACAUUUCUAGUGGAAACCACCAUCGAAAACUUUCCAUGUUCAAAUGGUCGAAUGGAAAAGUGUUGGACGGGUAACACUUAAAAAAAUUGUGUGUAAGAGAUAGCAUCACUUUAUGCUCAGUCUACACGAGUACAUGAUGGUGGGCGCUGAACGUUUUAUAUAAUACUCGGUAGGUAUCUAAUUUCAUGCUUAAUUUGGCCGCUGGAGCUUUAAUGAGUUGAAGAGGAUCUACCAAUUUGACAAUCUACCAAUUGCGGUUUUGUUAUCGUAUUUCCCAAAAAUGUGUUUGUUGUAAUGUUUUAGUUUAUUUAACAAUGUUUUGAUAAAAAAAGUUCUGUAAAGAACCAACUAUUUAUCAUAUGCAUAUUCAACUGAGAAAACAACACAAAAAGAAGGCCGGGCCGGGCAGCAUAUGCAUAUUCUUGACCAGAUUAUCACACCAAUGGUCCAACAUAACCCCUAAGUUAAACAUGGCUGAAACAAGCAGCGCAACAAGUGUCAAAUUAGAGAAACGGAUCAAAUGGGACUCUUGAAGACAAUGCAGCCACCUAAGUACAACAUUGCAUGAAUAGUAAGUCUUAGUGCAAUUUCACUCGUUUAAGAGUGGCUAGAGAAUCAUUAUUCACAAUAAUUUUUUUUUAAUUCACGAUUAAAUGAAAUACAACCCUUAAUAUUA